This is a long non-coding RNA of Panicum virgatum (switchgrass), 1137 nucleotides long. RefSeq lists it as uncharacterized. NCBI's taxonomy places the organism in Eukaryota, Viridiplantae, Streptophyta, Magnoliopsida, Poales, Poaceae. The record is from RefSeq and is a predicted model, not a curated record. The transcript is spliced from 2 exons.
CCGUUUGCGGCCGCAAGCACUAUCUGGUCCGUUCAUCGGCGCUUUAUUAUUCGCGCUGGCCAACACUGCUUCGAUUCCGAACUCUGAUUCAUGGGUUCGCACCGUACCUUUAUUCCAUUCUCUCUCUAUUUCCAUUCCGGCUUCCUCUUUAGCUGCUUCUCCCCCAACACUUCCCCUGAUCCCCUCUUACGCUCGAGUUGCUUCUUCCAGAACCUCUCCAUUCUCGAGUUGCUUCUCUCAUCUGUCCUCUUGAGUUUGGAUCCGAGGCAGCAGCGAGGACACGCAUCUUCUCGCUCGUCUUUCUUUUCGUUCUUUGCUGCCCUUCUCGCAGAUCUGGCUAACUUUUCCGUCAACGCAUUUUGUUGUUUAACCCAUUUCCGGCCCUCGAAUCUUGCUACCUUCCCCCUCCUUAACGCAGAAUGGAUAGUUCCGCCAUUGCACAGGUCCUCGUUCUUACCCGAUGCUUCGCAAAUCCUUGUCCUUCAGGCUUCAGUGCGCUUGUGGCCGAGCUGCUUUCAAUCGUAAAUCCGGCAUAGAGCGGAACCCAUGCCGUAGGUUCUAUACCUGCUCGAUCUGUAAUAUGUUCAUCUGGGAGGAUAUACUGAACAAGUAGGUUGAAGAUAUGGUUUUUUAUUGUCACUACUAUCGAUGCUCUGCAGGUUGAUCUGGAUACUGCUCGCCACAUGCUUAGGCAAAAGAAUAUGCAGAUUCAUGCUUUGGAGCAGGAAUUGGGCAACUGUUUCGUGGAUGCUCCUCUCGUUGUUGAAGCCUUGGAACGAACCUAGGAAGUGGAGAUUUGGUUACUUGAAGUUUAGUAUUUUUUCCCGUUAUUAGCUGUUUUUUAAGCUUUACCUGACCGCAUGAAUUGCCUCAAAGCUAGUUCAGCAGCGCUUGUUGAUAUUUAAUAUCUUCAGUUUCAGUGCGACAACCUUAUUUGUUUUUUUUGUUUUUUUGUUUUUUGCUUCUUAGCUUUACUAGAGGUGGUACUGGUAUAGCCAUUUCAAAGAAUGCUGGAAUGGUCCCACUUCAGAUGGAGCUUGGGCGGAAAGAUGGUCCUAAUCUCUAGUUUUUCAAUCCAACUUUUUGUAUGGUAGUGUUAACAGGUUUUUCCUUCAAUUGCAGGCUAAUAAUUGGUUU